ACGGAGGUGAGGAUCCUUUCCCCAGCUGAUCGACUAUAAUUAUAGUGUGCUCAAAUGUAAUCCUUUAUGAGAGAUUCCAAGCGACAAAAAAAAAAAGAUCCAU
Molecule: small nucleolar RNA, 103 nt
Filed under: Triticum urartu
Lineage: Eukaryota; Viridiplantae; Streptophyta; Magnoliopsida; Poales; Poaceae
Description: Small nucleolar RNA Z103
Rfam family: Small nucleolar RNA Z103
About the family: This family consists of several snoRNA Z103 sequences which are members of the C/D class of snoRNA which contain the C (UGAUGA) and D (CUGA) box motifs. This family seems to be found exclusively in plants. C/D box small nucleolar RNAs are known to act as a methylation guides for 18S ribosomal RNA.
Source: Rfam by way of RNAcentral